UGAACGCUAGCUACAGGCUUAACACAUGCAAGUCGAGGGGCAGCAUGGUCUUAGCUUGCUAAGGCCGAUGGCGACCGGCGCACGGGUGAGUAACACGUAUCCAACCUGCCGUCUACUCUUGGACAGCCUUCUGAAAGGAAGAUUAAUACAAGAUGGCAUCAUGAGUCCGCAUGUUCACAUGAUUAAAGGUAUUCCGGUAGACGAUGGGGAUGCGUUCCAUUAGAUAGUAGGCGGGGUAACGGCCCACCUAGUCUUCGAUGGAUAGGGGUUCUGAGAGGAAGGUCCCCCACAUUGGAACUGAGACACGGUCCAAACUCCUACGGGAGGCAGCAGUGAGGAAUAUUGGUCAAUGGGCGAGAGCCUGAACCAGCCAAGUAGCGUGAAGGAUGACUGCCCUAUGGGUUGUAAACUUCUUUUAUAAAGGAAUAAAGUCGGGUAUGGAUACCCGUUUGCAUGUACUUUAUGAAUAAGGAUCGGCUAACUCCGUGCCAGCAGCCGCGGUAAUACGGAGGAUCCGAGCGUUAUCCGGAUUUAUUGGGUUUAAAGGGAGCGUAGAUGGAUAUUUAAGUCAGUUGUGAAAGUUUGCGGCUCAACCGUAAAAUUGCAGUUGAUACUGGAUAUCUUGAGUGCAGUUGAGGCAGGCGGAAUUCGUGGUGUAGCGGUGAAAUGCUUAGAUAUCACGAAGAACUCCGAUUGCGAAGGCAGCCUGCUAAGCUGCAACUGACAUUGAGGCUCGAAAGUGUGGGUAUCAAACAGG
RNAcentral lists this ribosomal RNA (757 nucleotides) under uncultured Bacteroidales bacterium. RNAcentral describes it as "bacterial SSU rRNA". It matches the Rfam family "Bacterial small subunit ribosomal RNA", at positions 30 to 776 of the family's 1533-position model. Lineage: Bacteria; Pseudomonadati; Bacteroidota; Bacteroidia; Bacteroidales. The record is from RNAcentral.